CCCUAGCCAUGAUAGAAGCGACAUCCUUUUUAGGCAAACGAAAAUGUCUAGUUCAAACGAAAAAGAACUGCCUAAAAAGAUAUAGCGGAUAGCAGGAAACAGC
RNAcentral lists this small RNA (103 nucleotides) under Flavobacterium chilense. Its description in RNAcentral is "Flavo-1 RNA". It matches the Rfam family "Flavo-1 RNA". The record is from RNAcentral. Lineage: Bacteria; Pseudomonadati; Bacteroidota; Flavobacteriia; Flavobacteriales; Flavobacteriaceae.